RNAcentral lists this ribosomal RNA (433 nucleotides) under uncultured bacterium. RNAcentral describes it as "partial 16S ribosomal RNA". It matches the Rfam family "Bacterial small subunit ribosomal RNA", at positions 29 to 507 of the family's 1533-position model. The record is from RNAcentral.
AGCGAACGCUGGCGGCAGGCUUAACACAUGCAAGUCGAGCGGGCCCUUCGGGGUCAGCGGCGGACGGGUGAGUAACGCGUGGGAACGUGCCUUCUGGUCUGGAAUAACCCUGGGAAACUAGGGCUAAUACCGGAUACGCCCUUAUGGGGAAAGGUUUACUGCCGGAAGAUCGGCCCGCGUCUGAUUAGCUAGUUGGUGGGGUAACGGCCUACCAAGGCGACGAUCAGUAGCUGGUCUGAGAGGAUGAUCAGCCACACUGGGACUGAGACACGGCCCAGACUCCUACGGGAGGCAGCAGUGGGGAAUAUUGGACAAUGGGCGCAAGCCUGAUCCAGCCAUGCCGCGUGAGUGAUGAAGGCCUUAGGGUUGUAAAGCUCUUUUAUCCGGGACGAUAAUGACGGUACCGGAGGAAUAAGCCCCGGCUAACUUCGUG